Molecule: ribosomal RNA, 467 nt
Filed under: uncultured bacterium
Lineage: Bacteria
Description: partial 16S ribosomal RNA
Rfam family: Bacterial small subunit ribosomal RNA
Source: RNAcentral
GAUGAACGCUGGCGGCGCGCCUAACACAUGCAAGUCGAACGAUUAAAGCACCUUCGGGUGUGUAUAAAGUGGCGAACGGCUGAGUAACACGUGGGCAACCUGCCCCUUUCAUUGGGAUAGCCACGGGAAACCGUGGAUAAUACCGAAUACUUCGAGACUUCCGCAUGGAAGACUCGAGAAAGCUCCGGCGGAGAGGGAUGGGCCCGCGGCCUGUUAGCUUGUUGGUGGGGUAACGGCCUACCAAGGCAAUGAUGGGUAGCUGGGUUGAGAGACCGACCAGCCAGAUUGGGACUGAGACACGGCCCAGACUCCUACGGGGGGCAGCAGUGGGGAAUCUUGCACAAUGGGCGAAAGCCUGAUGCAGCGACGCCGCGUGCGGGAUGAAGGCCUUCGGGUUGUAAACCGCUUUCAGCAGGGACGAGGCGAAAGUGGCGGUACCUGCAGAAGAAGCCCCGGCUAACUACGUG